UACGUAGGGUGCAAGCGUUGUCCGGAAUUAUUGGGCGUAAAGAGCUCGUAGGCGGUCUGUUGCGUCGGCUGUGAAAACCCGGGGCUCAACUCCGGGCCUGCAGCCGAUACGGGCAGACUAGAGUUCGGCAGGGGAGACUGGAAUUCCUGGUGUAGCGGUGAAAUGCGCAGAUAUCGGGAGGAACACCAGUGGCGAAGGCGGCACUCUGGGCCGGUACUGACGCUGAGGAGCGAAAGCGUGGGGAGCAAACAGG
This 253-nucleotide ribosomal RNA is filed under the name uncultured bacterium. RNAcentral's name for it is "partial 16S ribosomal RNA". It matches the Rfam family "Bacterial small subunit ribosomal RNA", at positions 524 to 776 of the family's 1533-position model. The record is from RNAcentral.